RNAcentral lists this ribosomal RNA (429 nucleotides) under Chloroflexota bacterium. RNAcentral describes it as "Chloroflexi bacterium partial 16S ribosomal RNA". It matches the Rfam family "Bacterial small subunit ribosomal RNA", at positions 355 to 776 of the family's 1533-position model. Lineage: Bacteria; Bacillati; Chloroflexota. The record is from RNAcentral.
UGGGGAAUAUUGCACAAUGGGCGCAAGCCUGAUGCAGCCAUGCCGCGUGUGUGAAGAAGGCCUUCGGGUUGUAAAGCACUUUCAGCGGGGAGGAAGGCGAUAAGGUUAAUAACCUUGUCGAUUGACGUUACCCGCAGAAGAAGCACCGGCUAACUCCGUGCCAGCAGCCGCGGUAAUACGGAGGGUGCAAGCGUUAAUCGGAAUUACUGGGCGUAAAGCGCACGCAGGCGGUCUGUCAAGUCGGAUGUGAAAUCCCCGGGCUCAACCUGGGAAAUGCAUUCGAAACUGGCAGGCUAGAGUCUUGUAGAGGGGGGUAGAAUUCCAGGUGUAGCGGUGAAAUGCGUAGAGAUCUGGAGGAAUACCGGUGGCGAAGGCGGCCCCCUGGACAAAGACUGACGCUCAGGUGCGAAAGCGUGGGGAGCAAACAGG